GGGCGUGUGGCCUAGUGGUAUGAUUCUCGCUUUGGGUGCGAGAGGCCCUGGGUUCAAUUCCCAGCUCGCCCC
RNAcentral lists this transfer RNA (72 nucleotides) under Kazachstania africana CBS 2517. RNAcentral describes it as "tRNA-Pro (TGG) (tRNA-Pro-TGG-2-1)". It matches the Rfam family "tRNA". From Rfam's summary of the family: Transfer RNA (tRNA) molecules are approximately 80 nucleotides in length. Lineage: Eukaryota; Fungi; Ascomycota; Saccharomycetes; Saccharomycetales; Saccharomycetaceae. The record is from RNAcentral.